GAUGAACGCUAGCGACAGGCCUAACACAUGCAAGUCGAGGGGUAACAGAUGAAGAGCUUGCUCAGAUUGCUGACGACCGGCGCACGGGUGAGUAACACGUAUGCAACCUACCUUUUACAGAGGGAUAGCCCAGAGAAAUUUGGAUUAAUACCUCAUAAUAUUUUUGACUCGCAUGAGUUUUAAAUUAAAACUUCGGUGGUAAAAGAUGGGCAUGCGUUCUAUUAGUUUGUUGGUGAGGUAACGGCUUACCAAGACUACGAUAGAUAGGGGUUCUGAGAGGAUAGUCCCCCACACUGGUACUGAGACACGGACCAGACUCCUACGGGAGGCAGCAGUGAGGAAUAUUGGUCAAUGGUCGAAAGACUGAACCAGCCAUGUCGCGUGAAGGAUGACGGCCCUAUGGGUUGUAAACUUCUUUUGUAUGGGAAGAAAAGCAGUUACGUGUAAUUGUCUGCCGGUACCAUACGAAUAAGGAUCGGCUAACUCCG
This 488-nucleotide ribosomal RNA is filed under the name uncultured Bacteroidota bacterium. RNAcentral's name for it is "bacterial SSU rRNA". It matches the Rfam family "Bacterial small subunit ribosomal RNA", at positions 28 to 505 of the family's 1533-position model. Lineage: Bacteria; Pseudomonadati; Bacteroidota. The record is from RNAcentral.